This 241-nucleotide unclassified non-coding RNA is filed under the name Ambisporaceae sp. Its description in RNAcentral is "partial contains 5.8S ribosomal RNA and internal transcribed spacer 2". The stretch from base 1 to 71 matches the Rfam family "5.8S ribosomal RNA", at positions 84 to 154 of the family's 154-position model. Lineage: Eukaryota; Fungi; Glomeromycota; Glomeromycetes; Archaeosporales; Ambisporaceae. The record is from RNAcentral.
GUGAAUCAUCGAAUUUUUGAACGCAUAUUGCACUCUCUGGUAUUCCGGAGAGUAUGCCUGUUUGAGGGUAAUUAAAAAGAAUCUUUAACCAAUUUUUUUUGGUCAAAGGAAAUGAGCUCUCCGCGUUUAUAGCGGUAGCUUGAAAUAAAUGGUAAAGUCACUUUUUACUCGAGACGCAUUAUAAUAUUAUUUCGCAAUAUCUUCUUUAUGUCACUCUCAAGUUUUUAUGUAUAAAAAUGUG